CAGUAGCCGCGGUAAUACGAGGGGAGCUAGCGUUAUUCGGAAUUACUGGGCGUAAAGCGCACGUAGGCGGCUUUGUAAGUUAGAGGUGAAAGCCCAGAGCUCAACUCUGGAAUUGCCUUUAAGACUGCAUCGCUUGAAUCCAGGAGAGGUGAGUGGAAUUCCGAGUGUAGAGGUGAAAUUCGUAGAUAUUCGGAAGAACACCAGUGGCGAAGGCGGCUCGCUGGACUGGUAUUGACGCUGAGGUGCGAAAGCGUGGGGAGCAAACAGGAUUAGAUACCCCCGUAGUCCCUGUCUCUUAUAC
RNAcentral lists this ribosomal RNA (301 nucleotides) under uncultured bacterium. Its description in RNAcentral is "partial 16S ribosomal RNA". It matches the Rfam family "Bacterial small subunit ribosomal RNA", at positions 509 to 807 of the family's 1533-position model. The record is from RNAcentral.